This 476-nucleotide ribosomal RNA is filed under the name uncultured bacterium. RNAcentral describes it as "SSU rRNA". It matches the Rfam family "Bacterial small subunit ribosomal RNA", at positions 26 to 521 of the family's 1533-position model. The record is from RNAcentral.
AGGAUGAACGCCGGCGGCGUGCCUAACACAUGCAAGUCGAACGUCCUGUCUCGCAAGAGGCAGGGAGUGGCGGACGGGUGAGUACCACGUGGGUCAUCUACCGUGAGGUGAGGAAUACCGGCGAGAAAUCGCCGACAAGACCGCAUAGGCUCGAUGCAAGUCGAGCAAAGCUCUUUCGAGAGAGGGAGCGCCACACGAGGAGCCUGCGCCCGAUUAGCUAGCUGGUGGAGUAAUGGUUCACCAGGGCGACGAUCGGUAGCUGGUCUGAGAGGACGAUCAGCCACACUGGGAUUGAGAACGGCCCAGACUCCUACGGGGGCAGCAGUGAGGAAUUUUCGUCAAUGGGGGCAACCCUGAACGAGCAACGCCGCGUGCAGGAAGAAGGUUUUCGGAUCGUAAACUGCUUUUCUCGGGGAAGAGGAACGGACGGUACCCGAGGAAUCGAGCCCGGCUAACUACGCGCCAGCAGCCGCGGU